This 402-nucleotide ribosomal RNA is filed under the name uncultured prokaryote. RNAcentral describes it as "bacterial SSU rRNA". It matches the Rfam family "Bacterial small subunit ribosomal RNA", at positions 355 to 774 of the family's 1533-position model. The record is from RNAcentral.
UAGGGAAUAUUGGUAAUCUGGGAAACCGGGAACCAGCAACGCCGCGUGUGCGAUGAAGGCCUUCGGGUUGUAAAGCACUUUUUGAGGGGAUGGGGAAGGACAGUACCCUCAGAAUAAGCCUCGGCUAACUACGUGCCAGCAGCCGCGGUAACACGUAGGAGGCGAGCGUUAUUCGGAUUUACUGGGCGUAAAGCGCGUGCAGGCGGCUCGAUAAGUUGGAUGUGAAAGCUCCUGGCUUAACUGGGAGAGGUCGUUCAAAACUAUCAGACUUGAGAGUGGUAGAGGGAGGUGGAAUUCCGCAUGUAGUGGUGAAAUGCGUAGAUAUGCGGAGGAACACCAGUGGCGAAAGCGGCCUCCUGGCCCAUUUCUGACGCUCAGACACGAAAGCUAAGGUAGCAAACG